CCUACGGGUGGCAGCAGUGAGGAAUAUUGGUCAAUGGACGCGAGUCUGAACCAGCCAAGUAGCGUGAAGGAUGACUGCCCUAUGGGUUGUAAACUUCUUUUAUAUGGGAAUAAAACAGGGUAUGCAUACCCUCUUGUAUGUACCAUAUGAAUAAGGAUCGGCUAACUCCGUGCCAGCAGCCGCGGUAAUACGGAGGAUCCGAGCGUUAUCCGGAUUUAUUGGGUUUAAAGGGAGCGUAGGUGGAGUGUUAAGUCAGUUGUGAAAGUUUGCGGCUCAACCUUAAAAUUGCAGUUGAUACUGGCAGUCUUGAGUACAGUAGCGGUAGGCGGAAUGCGUGGUGUAGCGGUGAAAUGCUUAGAGAUCACGAAGAACUCCGAUUGCGAAGGCAGCUUACUGGACUGCAACUGACACUGAGGCUCGAAAGUGUGGGGAUCAAACAGGAUUAGAUACCCCUGUAGUC
RNAcentral lists this ribosomal RNA (460 nucleotides) under uncultured bacterium. RNAcentral describes it as "partial 16S ribosomal RNA". It matches the Rfam family "Bacterial small subunit ribosomal RNA", at positions 338 to 795 of the family's 1533-position model. The record is from RNAcentral.